CAGGGAUUGCCUCAGUAACGGCGAAGUGAAGCGGCAAGAAGCUCAAAUUUGAAAGCUGGCCCCUUCGGGGUCCGCAUUGUAAUUUGCAGAGGAUGCUUCGGGUGCAGCCCCCGUCUAAGUGCCCUGGAACGGGCCGUCAUAGAGGGUGAGAAUCCCGUCUGGGACGGGGUGUCUGCGUCCGUGUGAAGCUCCUUCGACGAGUCGAGUUGUUUGGGAAUGCAGCUCUAAAUGGGUGGUAAAUUUCAUCUAAAGCUAAAUACUGGCCGGAGACCGAUAGCGCACAAGUAGAGUGAUCGAAAGAUGAAAAGCACUUUGAAAAGAGAGUUAAACAGCACGUGAAAUUGUUGAAAGGGAAGCGUUUGCGACCAGACUCGCCCGCGGGGUUCAGCCGGCAUUCGUGCCGGUGUACUUCCCCGUGGGCGGGCCAGCGUCGGUUUGGGCGGCCGGUCAAAGGCCCUCGGAAUGUAUCACCUCUCGGGGUGUCUUAUAGCCGAGGGUGCAAUGCGGCCUGCCCGGACCGAGGAACGCGCUUCGGCUCGGACGCUGGCGUAAUGGUCGUAAAUGACCCGUCUUGAAACACGGACCAAGGAGUCUAACAUCUACGCGAGUGUUCGGGUGUCAAACCCGUACGCGCAGUGAAAGCGAACGGAGGUGGGAGCCCCCUCGUGGGGCGCACCAUCGACCGAUCCUGAUGUCUUCGGAUGGAUUUGAGUACGAGCGUAGCUGUGGGGACCCGAAAGAUGGUGAACUAUGCCUGAAUAGGGCGAAGCCAGAGGAAACUCUGGUGGAGGCUCGCAGCGGUUCUGACGUGCAAAUCGAUCGUCAAAUUUGGGUAUAGGGGCGAAAGACUAAUCGAACCAUCUAGUA
RNAcentral lists this ribosomal RNA (867 nucleotides) under Aspergillus spathulatus. RNAcentral's name for it is "LSU rRNA". It matches the Rfam family "Eukaryotic large subunit ribosomal RNA", at positions 69 to 949 of the family's 3401-position model. The record is from RNAcentral. Lineage: Eukaryota; Fungi; Ascomycota; Eurotiomycetes; Eurotiales; Aspergillaceae.